CCUACGGGCGGCUGCAGUGGGGAAUCUUAGACAAUGGGCGCAAGCCUGAUCUAGCCAUGCCGCGUGAGCGAUGAAGGCCUUAGGGUUGUAAAGCUCUUUCGGGGGGGAAGAUAAUGACUGUACCCCCAGAAGAAGCCCCGGCUAACUCCGUGCCAGCAGCCGCGGUAAUACGGAGGGGGCUAGCGUUGUUCGGAAUUACUGGGCGUAAAGCGCACGUAGGCGGACGGAGAAGUCAGAGGUGAAAUCCCAGGGCUCAACCUUGGAACUGCCUUUGAAACUUUCUGUCUUGAGGUCGUGAGAGGUGAGUGGAAUUCCGAGUGUAGAGGUGAAAUUCGUAGAUAUUCGGAGGAACACCAGUGGCGAAGGCGGCUCACUGGCACGAUACUGACGCUGAGGUGCGAAAGCGUGGGGAGCAAACAGGAUUAGAUACCCCAGUAGUC
RNAcentral lists this ribosomal RNA (440 nucleotides) under uncultured bacterium. Its description in RNAcentral is "bacterial SSU rRNA". It matches the Rfam family "Bacterial small subunit ribosomal RNA", at positions 338 to 795 of the family's 1533-position model. The record is from RNAcentral.